AGCUCCAAUAGCGUAUAUUAAAGUUGUUGCAGUUAAAACGCUCGUAGUCGGAUUUCGGGGCGGGGCGGCCGGUCUGCCGAUGGGUACGCACUGGUCGCCGCGCUCUUCUUGCCGGAGGCGCGGCCUACUCUUCACUGAGCGGGCCGUGAACUCGGCACGUUUACUUUGAAAAAAUCAGAGUGUUUCAAGCAGGCAGCUCGCUCUUGCAUGGAUUAGCAUGGGAUAAUAAAAUAGGACUUUGGUGCUAUUUUGUUGGUUUCGAACACCAGAGUAAUGAUUAACAGGGACAGUCAGGGGCACUCGUAUUCCGCCGAGAGAGGUGAAAUUCUUAGACCAGCGGAAGACGAACAACUGCGAAAGCAUUUGCCAGGGAUGUUUUCACUGAUCAAGAACGAAAGUA
This 400-nucleotide ribosomal RNA is filed under the name phytoplankton environmental sample. RNAcentral describes it as "partial small subunit ribosomal RNA". It matches the Rfam family "Eukaryotic small subunit ribosomal RNA", at positions 587 to 991 of the family's 1831-position model. The record is from RNAcentral.